GAUGAACGCUGGCGGCGUGCCUAAUACAUGCAAGUCGAGCGAACGGACGAGAAGCUUGCUUCUCUGAUGUUAGCGGCGGACGGGUGAGUAACACGUGGAUAACCUACCUAUAAGACUGGGAUAACUUCGGGAAACCGGAGCUAAUACCGGAUAAUAUUUUGAACCGCAUGGUUCAAAAGUGAAAGACGGUCUUGCUGUCACUUAUAGAUGGAUCCGCGCUGCAUUAGCUAGUUGGUAAGGUAACGGCUUACCAAGGCAACGAUGCAUAGCCGACCUGAGAGGGUGAUCGGCCACACUGGAACUGAGACACGGUCCAGACUCCUACGGGAGGCAGCAGUAGGGAAUCUUCCGCAAUGGGCGAAAGCCUGACGGAGCAACGCCGCGUGAGUGAUGAAGGUCUUCGGAUCGUAAAACUCUGUUAUUAGGGAAGAACAUAUGUGUAAGUAACUGUGCACAUCUUGACGGUACCUAAUCAGAAAGCCACGGCUAACUACGUGCCAGCAGCCGCGGUAAUACGUAGGUGGCAAGCGUUAUCCGGAAUUAUUGGGCGUAAAGCGCGCGUAGGCGGUUUUUUAAGUCUGAUGUGAAAGCCCACGGCUCAACCGUGGAGGGUCAUUGGAAACUGGAAAACUUGAGUGCAGAAGAGGAAAGUGGAAUUCCAUGUGUAGCGGUGAAAUGCGCAGAGAUAUGGAGGAACACCAGUGGCGAAGGCGACUUUCUGGUCUGUAACUGACACUGAUGUGCGAAAGCGUGGGGAUCAAACAGGAUUAGAUACCCUGGUAGUCCACGCCGUAAACGAUGAGUGCUGAGUGUUAGGGGGUUUCCGCCCCUUAGUGCUGCAGCUAACGCAUUAAGCACUCCGCCUGGGGAGUACGACCGCAAGGUUGAAACUCAAAGGAAUUGACGGGGACCCGCACAAGCGGUGGAGCAUGUGGUUUAAUUCGAAGCAACGCGAAGAACCUUACCAAAUCUUGGCAUCCUUUGACAACUCUAGAGAUAGAGCCUUCCCCUUCGGGGGACAAAGUGACAGGUGGUGCAUGGUUGUCGUCAGCUCGUGUCGUGAGAUGUUGGGUUAAGUCCCGCAACGAGCGCAACCCUUAAGCUUAGUUGCCAUCAUUAAGUUGGGCACUCUAAGUUGACUGCCGGUGACAAACCGGAGGAAGGUGGGGAUGACGUCAAAUCAUCAUGCCCCUUAUGAUUUGGGCUACACACGUGCUACAAUGGACAAUACAAAGGGCAGCGAAACCGCGAGGUCAAGCAAAUCCCAUAAAGUUGUUCUCAGUUCGGAUUGUAGUCUGCAACUCGACUACAUGAAGCUGGAAUCGCUAGUAAUCGUAGAUCAGCAUGCUACGGUGAAUACGUUCCCGGGUCU
This 1372-nucleotide ribosomal RNA is filed under the name uncultured bacterium. RNAcentral's name for it is "bacterial SSU rRNA". It matches the Rfam family "Bacterial small subunit ribosomal RNA", at positions 28 to 1381 of the family's 1533-position model. The record is from RNAcentral.